This 318-nucleotide long non-coding RNA is filed under the name Lathyrus oleraceus (garden pea). Its description in RNAcentral is "Pisum sativum (pea) long non-coding RNA (PSAT_LNC016448)". The record is from RNAcentral. Lineage: Eukaryota; Viridiplantae; Streptophyta; Magnoliopsida; Fabales; Fabaceae.
UUGGAAGCUGAUGUAAGUCCAUCGAGUGGCAUUUGGGUUCCAGUGUGGGUUUGUUGGUUCGGAUGCUGAUGUAAGUCCAGUGAUUGGCAUUCAGGCUCCACGUUUGCCUUUGCCUGUGUUUGUUUGUGUGCGUGUCAGCCGAGCUACGAAUGCUCUGAUUCUUCUCUCGUCCGAGAAGAUACGUAUGCAUAGGAUGCGAUAUCCUAGCGAGCAUGUGUCGUUUCCCCAGUCCGAACUACUUCGACUCUGAUGUCUAUGCCUGAUAGACUAAGUAGGCCCAGGAUGCGAUAUUCUGCCGAGUCAGUCUUGUCUGUUUUC